AGAUUGAACGCUGGCGGCAUGCCUUACACAUGCAAGUCGAGCGGCAGCGCGGGGGCAACCCUGGCGGCGAGCGGCGAACGGGUGAGUAAUACAUCGGAACGUGUCCAGUAGCGGGGGAUAGCCCGGCGAAAGCCGGAUUAAUACCGCAUACGAUCUACGGAUGAAAGCGGGGGACCGCAAGGCCCCGCACUAUUGGAGCGGCCGAUGUCGGAUUAGCUAGUUGGACGGGUAAAAGCCCACCAAGGCGACGAUCCGUAGCUGGUCUGAGAGGACGACCAGCCACACUGGAACUGAGACACGGUCCAGACUCCGUACGGGAGGCAGCAGGUGGGGUAAUUUGGACAAGUGGGGGCAACCCUGGACUCCGAGCCAUCGGCCGCGUGAGUGAAGAAGGUCCGUUGGUUAGAAGUCUCGUUCGGCGGGUACGAACGGUUCG
Molecule: ribosomal RNA, 436 nt
Filed under: uncultured soil bacterium
Lineage: Bacteria
Description: bacterial SSU rRNA
Rfam family: Bacterial small subunit ribosomal RNA
Source: RNAcentral